This is a long non-coding RNA of Hippocampus comes (tiger tail seahorse), 161 nucleotides long. RefSeq lists it as uncharacterized. The record is from RefSeq and is a predicted model, not a curated record. The transcript is spliced from 2 exons. Lineage: Eukaryota; Metazoa; Chordata; Actinopteri; Syngnathiformes; Syngnathidae.
CAAACUGCAUGGUGCAUAUUGUAUGUGGGAGUGCUUAGUUGUUUCCUACAUUUUCAGGUUGAUUGAGCAUUUAGAAUAAGGCUGGCUAAAACGUAUUUUUCCUUGACCAAGUUUGAGCAAGCUUGAUAGAUUCAGGCUAGCUUGAGCACGCCCUGCACCAU